UAUCUUUUUACAAUUUUUAUAAUAACUUCAUAUUUAGACUAUAGAACAAGAAAAAUAAAUGAGUUGUAAUAAACUCAAAACGACAGUAAUGGUGAGCGCCAUAAUCCCUUUAGGAAAAACGUCAUACAAUUACCAUAUAUAGGUCAGCAGAUCUCGGAACAUUUACGGUGUCACUAGAGAUAUUAUCAUGAUAUAUUAUCAAGAAAUAAAAAAGAAAAGAUGGCUAGUAAAAAAAAGUUAAAGUUAUAUAUAAAUUUAUCUCACAAUUUACUGCUAAUAUAAUGUCUAAAACCCUUAAAUUGAAGUGUUUUCUUUAUUUUGUCAGAUGGACCUGUUCCUGUAUUAUAUAUACAAAAAGUAUUUUUGUUUAUAUACAAAAAAUAGUUAAGUUUUAACUAAUAAAAGUAAUUUUGCUUCAACUACGAAGUGUUUAUUAAUGUACAGCAAGUUAAUAACAUUUGCGUACAGUAGUCACACACUUCUUACAAAAACUUAAUAAGUUGGAUGUUGAGAAAUUGCAAAAUACAAUCAAAUUGAGCAGAUAUAUCCGUCUUUUUUAUAAAUGCUGGUGGCAAAGCGAAACCAUUGUUUAAUAAAUCAAGUUUAUCAUGUUGUAACAUAUAUGAGGAUAAAUUUGAAUAACAUUUUGGUGCUUAAAAGGAAGACCUACUGAUUUUGUGAGGGAACAUAAUUUCUUUUCGUGUGUUUUAAUUAUUGAAAUUUCUUUCUUU
Long non-coding RNA from Hydra vulgaris (swiftwater hydra), 731 nucleotides. RefSeq lists it as uncharacterized. The record is from RefSeq and is a predicted model, not a curated record. NCBI's taxonomy places the organism in Eukaryota, Metazoa, Cnidaria, Hydrozoa, Anthoathecata, Hydridae.